RNAcentral lists this ribosomal RNA (535 nucleotides) under Salmonella enterica subsp. enterica serovar Kentucky. Its description in RNAcentral is "partial 23S ribosomal RNA". It matches the Rfam family "Bacterial large subunit ribosomal RNA", at positions 711 to 1224 of the family's 2925-position model. The record is from RNAcentral. Lineage: Bacteria; Pseudomonadati; Pseudomonadota; Gammaproteobacteria; Enterobacterales; Enterobacteriaceae.
AGACCCGAAACCCGGUGAUCUAGCCAUGGGCAGGUUGAAGGUUGGGUAACACUAACUGGAGGACCGAACCGACUAAUGUUGAAAAAUUAGCGGAUGACCUGUGGCUGGGGGUGAAAGGCCAAUCAAACCGGGAGAUAGCUGGUUCUCCCCGAAAGCUAUUUAGGUAGCGCCUCGUGAACUCAUCUCCGGGGGUAGAGCACUGUUUCGGCUAGGGGGCCAUCCCGGCUUACCAACCCGAUGCAAACUGCGAAUACCGGAGAAUGUUAUCACGGGAGACACACGGCGGGUGCUAACGUCCGUCGUGAAGAGGGAAACAACCCAGACCGCCAGCUAAGGUCCCAAAGUCAUGGUUAAGUGGGAAACGAUGUGGGAAGGCCCAGACAGCCAGGAUGUUGGCUUAGAAGCAGCCAUCAUUUAAAGAAAGCGUAAUAGCUCACUGGUCGAGUCGGCCUGCGCGGAAGAUGUAACGGGGCUAAACCAUGCACCGAAGCUGCGGCAGCGAACGUAUCACUUAAAGCGAUUCAGCGGGUUACGA